ACUGACUGCUAUCGGAUUGGUACUAAGCCAUGCGAGUCAUUGUAGCAAUACAAGGCGGACGGCUCAGUAACACGUAGUCAACCUAACUCGUGGACGUGGAUAACCUCGGGAAACUGAGAAUAAACCACGAUAGAUCAUAGUGCCUGGAAUGGCUUAUGGUCCAAACAGUUUACUGCCAUGGGAUGGGACUGCGGCCUAUCAGCUUGUUGGUGAGGUAAUGGCCCACCAAGGCGAUUACAGGUACGGGCUCUGAGAGGAGAAGCCCGGAGAUGGGUACUGAGACACGGACCCAGGCCCUAUGGGGCGCAGCAGGCGAGAAACCUUAGCAAUGUGCGAAAGCACGACUGGGUCAGUCCGAGUGAUUCCUGAUAAAGGAGUCUUUUGCCUGUCCUAAAAGCACAGGUGAAUAAGGGGUGGGCAAGUCUGGUGUCAGCCGCCGCGGUAAUACCAGCACCUCGAGUGGUCAGGACGUUUAUUGGGCCUAAAGCAUCCGUAGCCGGCUCUGCAAGUCUUCGGUUAAAUCCACCUGCUCAACAGAUGGGCCGCUGGAGAUACUACAGAGCUAGGGAGUGGGAGAGGCAGACGGUAUUCAGUGGGUAGGGGUAAAAUCCUCUGAUCCAUUGAGGACCACCAGUGGCGAAGGCGGUCUGCCAGAACACGUUCGACGGUGAGGGAUGAAAGCUGGGGGAGCAAACCGGAUUAGAUACCCGGGUAGUCCCAGCUGUAAACGAUGCAAACUCGGUGAUGCAUUGGCUUAUGGCCAAUGCAGUGCCGCAGGGAAGCCGUUAAGUUUGCCGCCUGGGAAGUACGGACGCAAGUCUGAAACUUAA
This 830-nucleotide ribosomal RNA is filed under the name uncultured archaeon. Its description in RNAcentral is "bacterial SSU rRNA". It matches the Rfam family "Archaeal small subunit ribosomal RNA", at positions 21 to 859 of the family's 1478-position model. The record is from RNAcentral.